AUAGACUGGCGGGCAGUUGCGUCUCAGGGCGCGCUCGCGAGAAAGUUCUGAGACUGGCAGAGGCAGACCUAUCGAUCGGUUACUGCAACUGCGAGAAACUGUAGAUCGAAGACACACGUGGUAGGCUUCGGUGAUUCCACUUCGGACCCGGGUUCGACUCCCGGCAUCUCCACUG
This 175-nucleotide transfer-messenger RNA is filed under the name Ignavibacteriota bacterium. RNAcentral describes it as "Ignavibacteriae bacterium partial transfer-messenger RNA". It matches the Rfam family "transfer-messenger RNA", at positions 186 to 374 of the family's 374-position model. From Rfam's summary of the family: Bacterial tmRNA, also known as 10Sa RNA or SsrA, is named for its dual tRNA and mRNA-like properties. Its role is to liberate the mRNA from a stalled ribosome. To accomplish this part of the tmRNA is used as a reading frame that ends in a translation stop signal. Lineage: Bacteria; Pseudomonadati; Ignavibacteriota. The record is from RNAcentral.